RNAcentral lists this ribosomal RNA (483 nucleotides) under uncultured bacterium. Its description in RNAcentral is "partial 16S ribosomal RNA". It matches the Rfam family "Bacterial small subunit ribosomal RNA", at positions 30 to 506 of the family's 1533-position model. The record is from RNAcentral.
AUUGAACGCUGGCGGCAUGCUUUACACAUGCAAGUCGAACGGCAGCACGGGCUUCGGCCUGGUGGCGAGUGGCGAACGGGUGAGUAAUAUAUCGGAACGUACCCAGAAGUGGGGGAUAACGUAGCGAAAGUUACGCUAAUACCGCAUACGAUCUAUGGAUGAAAGCAGGGGACCGCAAGGCCUUGUGCUCCUGGAGCGGCCGAUAUCUGAUUAGCUAGUUGGUGAGGUAAAGGCUCACCAAGGCGACGAUCAGUAGCUGGUCUGAGAGGACGACCAGCCACACUGGAACUGAGACACGGUCCAGACUCCUACGGGAGGCAGCAGUGGGGAAUUUUGGACAAUGGGCGCAAGCCUGAUCCAGCAAUGCCGCGUGAGUGAAGAAGGCCUUCGGGUUGUAAAGCUCUUUUGUCAGGGAAGAAACGGUAGAGGCUAAUAUCCUUUGCUAAGGACGGUACCUGAAGAAUAAGCACCGGCUAACUACGU